CAGUCGCCGCGGGAAUACGGAGGGUGCAAGCGUUAAUCGGAAUUACUGGGCGUAAAGCGCACGCAGGCGGUCUGACAAGUUAGAUGUGAAAUCCCCGGGCUUAACCUGGGAACUGCAUUUGAAACUGUCAGGCUGGAGUCUUGUAGAGGGGGGUGGAAUUCCAGGUGUAGCGGUGAAAUGCGUAGAGAUCUGGAGGAAUACCGGUGGCGAAGGCGGCCCCCUGGACAAAGACUGACGCUCAGGUGCGAAAGCGUGGGGAGCAAACAGGAUUAGAUACCCCAGUAGUCCCUGUCUCUUAUAC
RNAcentral lists this ribosomal RNA (301 nucleotides) under uncultured bacterium. RNAcentral describes it as "partial 16S ribosomal RNA". It matches the Rfam family "Bacterial small subunit ribosomal RNA", at positions 509 to 807 of the family's 1533-position model. The record is from RNAcentral.